UACGUAGGGUGCAAGCGUUGUCCGGAAUUAUUGGGCGUAAAGAGCUUGUAGGCGGUUUGUCGCGUCUGCUGUGAAAUUUCGGGGCUCAACCCCGAACUUGCAGUGGGUACGGGCAGACUAGAGUGUGGUAGGGGAGACUGGAAUUCCCGGUGUAGUGGUGAAAUGCGUAGAUAUCGGGAGGAACACCAGUGGCGAAGGCGACUUUCUGGCCUGUUCUUGACGCUGAGGCGCGAAAGCCAGGGGAGCGAACGGG
Molecule: ribosomal RNA, 253 nt
Filed under: uncultured bacterium
Lineage: Bacteria
Description: partial 16S ribosomal RNA
Rfam family: Bacterial small subunit ribosomal RNA
Source: RNAcentral